UUAAUUGAAACCAAAAAGAGGUAUUUCACUGUUAAUGAUUCUAAUGAGUUUAACUCCAAUUAAA
This 64-nucleotide transfer RNA is filed under the name Olophrum piceum. RNAcentral describes it as "tRNA-Asn". Lineage: Eukaryota; Metazoa; Arthropoda; Insecta; Coleoptera; Staphylinidae. The record is from RNAcentral.